AUAUCUUUUGGGUCUUUUGACUAUGAUAAGGUGUAAUAUUUGUUUUUAUCAGUUUAAUAUAGUUUAAUAUCUGAUAUGUGAACCAUAUAUUCACUCUGAUAUUAAAGUUACUUUUUAUAGGUAUCAAAUAUGAUUGCAUAUCGUCUCAAUGCACCACUA
This 159-nucleotide small nuclear RNA is filed under the name Zea mays. RNAcentral's name for it is "U2 spliceosomal RNA". It matches the Rfam family "U2 spliceosomal RNA". Rfam says of the family: U2 is a small nuclear RNA (snRNA) component of the spliceosome (involved in pre-mRNA splicing). Complementary binding between U2 snRNA (in an area lying towards the 5' end but 3' to hairpin I) and the branchpoint sequence (BPS) of the intron results the bulging out of an unpaired adenosine, on the BPS, which initiates a nucleophilic attack at the intronic 5' splice site, thus starting the first of two transesterification reactions that mediate splicing. Lineage: Eukaryota; Viridiplantae; Streptophyta; Magnoliopsida; Poales; Poaceae. The record is from Rfam by way of RNAcentral.